AUAUAUGUUAUAAAAAAAUUAAUAUUUCCAAUCUUCAUUUGUGUCAUCGCCAACAACCAUUGUUAACCCUAUCUUCUUUGGGUUAUUGUACUGUCCGCCUCCGCCUCCUUCUCCUUCUUAUCAACGGCGAUAUACAAGUCAAAAUCCGAUGUAAUACAGGGGUUUCUUAUAUUCUGUUGACGACUCCUACUCCUUCUCUGUGUUCAAUGAUUUUAUCAUCGUUGAUAUACAACUGAAGAUCCGAUUUAAUACAGAGGCAAACAAUUAACGCUGAAGACGUAUUCAAGGCGCUUGAAGAUAUCGAGUUUCCAGAAUUCAUUGCACCACUAAGAGCUUGGCGAUUUGGUUCCAGCUGUCAAAGAGUUGCAUAUGCUAACUUCUGAGGAGCUUAGAAAGUUAAUCAGGGAGUGUGAUCUUUUAAUCCAUUUUUGUUGUAAAAUUUAUAGGGCAAAUGAUAUAUUAAUGUAUAGUUUGAUGUUGGUGUGAUCUUUUUAACCCAGUUUUGUUGUGAUUUUUAGGGCAAAUGACAUAUGCAAGGAAUCGAAGAGGCAAGCACUUAACGCUGAAGACGUAUUCAAGGCGCUUGAAGAUAUCGAGAUUUCAGAAAUCAUUACGCCUAAACAGAUGGUGUUUGCUCAAAUUUGAAGAAAAAAAUGUAACCUUUUCAGCUUAAACAUAUGGUGUUUGCUUUAAAAAAAUCCAUGAACUUCUCAAGGGUUUUAAAAUGACAAAAAUGGAGAUGAAACAACAAAUCACUGGUGAACUUCUCAUAUUACCCGCUAACAGCCACCAUCCCACAGCCCACCAUACUCCUCCAUCGAAGGUGGUUAAGACUCGUGGGAAAAGUAAAAGGAAGUAUAAGACAAAAAGACAAAAUUGGAAUUUGGGCAGAAAAGUCAAGUGCAAGGUAUGGAUGCUGAGGGGGCGUUGUUGAGCAGGCCUUUUAUAUGGAACGAGGCGUUGCGUAUUGUUAAUGAAGAGGGUCUUAGAGCCUUUUCGAAAGGGAAUAUGGUUACUAUUGCUCGUCGUCUUCCUUAUACUGCUGUUAACUUCUACGCGUAUGAGCAGUACAAAAAAGCGGCUGCUACAGUCAAUACCGAGUAUAGGAAACAACAGUGGAACUACAGCUACAGAUGCAUGGUUGCACUUUGUAAGCGGCGGUGGAAUGUCAGGAAUAACAGCUGCUACCAUAACAUAUCCUUUAGAUCUCAUCCGGACACGGCUGCGUUCAGUAUUAGUCAUGUUGAAAAUGAACAGCUAAUUGAUGAUUUGGAGGAACUAGAAGAAGGGGAACUUCAAGAGAGAUUAACAGAUACCGACUGAUGGAAAUAUUCAAUUCCAAGUGAUCGACCUACUUGGAUCUUUGCUUGUAAUUGGUUUGAGUUAGUUAUGAAUUUGACGAUUCGAUAAUUUUAUACUUUAUCAAGGUUACCCAAAACUUAGACUACUAUAUACGUGCCACCCAGUUAUGUAUCCUAUUUUGUUUAUAAGAUGAUUCAAUAAUUUCAUACUU
RNA transcript from Helianthus annuus (common sunflower), 1513 nucleotides. RefSeq lists it as uncharacterized. NCBI's taxonomy places the organism in Eukaryota, Viridiplantae, Streptophyta, Magnoliopsida, Asterales, Asteraceae. The transcript is spliced from 6 exons. The record is from RefSeq and is a predicted model, not a curated record.